AGAGUUUGAUCAUGGCUCAGGAUGAACGCUGGCGGCGUGCUUAACACAUGCAAGUCGAGCGAGAAAUCGCAGAAGGAAGCUUCGGUAGAAUUCUGUGAUGGAAAGCGGCGGACGGGUGAGUAACGCGUGGGAAACCUGCCCUUGACAGGGGGACAGCCGAGGGAAACUUCGAUUAAUACCCCAUAACGCAGAGAGACCGCAUGGUCAUUCUGCCAAAGAAUUAUCGGUCAGGGAUGGUCCCGCGUCUGAUUAGCUGGUUGGUGAGGCAGCGGCUCACCAAGGCGACGAUCAGUAGCCGGCCUGAGAGGGUGAACGGCCACAUUGGAACUGAGACACGGUCCAGACUCCUACGGGAGGCAGCAGUGGGGAAUAUUGCACAAUGGGCGCAAGCCUGAUGCAGCAACGCCGCGUGAAGGAGGAAGGCCUUCGGGUCGUAAACUUCUGUCCAAAGGGAAGAAGAAUGACGGUACCUUUGGAGGAAGCCCCGGCUAACUACGUGCCAGCAGCCGCGGUAACACGUAGGGGGCGAGCGUUAUCCGGAAUUACUGGGCGUAAAGAGUGCGUAGGUGGCUUUGCAAGCGUAGGGUAUAAGGCGACAGCCCAACUGUCGUUGGCCCCGCGAACUGUAAGGCUUGAGUACAGGAGGGGAAGGCGGAAUUCCUAGUGUAGCGGUGAAAUGCGUAGAUAUUAGGAGGAACACCAGUGGCGAAGGCGGCCUUCUGGACUGUAACUGACACUGAGGCACGAAAGCGUGGGUAGCAAACAGGAUUAGAUACCCUGGUAGUCC
RNAcentral lists this ribosomal RNA (787 nucleotides) under uncultured bacterium. Its description in RNAcentral is "bacterial SSU rRNA". It matches the Rfam family "Bacterial small subunit ribosomal RNA", at positions 8 to 796 of the family's 1533-position model. The record is from RNAcentral.